Molecule: ribosomal RNA, 235 nt
Filed under: uncultured bacterium
Lineage: Bacteria
Description: partial 16S ribosomal RNA
Rfam family: Bacterial small subunit ribosomal RNA
Source: RNAcentral
UGGCGGACGGGUGAGUAAUGUCUGGGAAACUACCUGAUGGAGGGGGAUAACUACUGGAAACGGUAGCUAAUACCGCAUAACGUCGCAAGACCAAAGAGGGGGACCUUAGGGCCUCUUGCCAUCGGAUGUGCCCAGAUGGGAUUAGCUAGUAGGUGGGGUAAAGGCUCACCUAGGCGACGAUCCCUAGCUGGUCUGAGAGGAUGACCAGCCACACUGGAACUGAGACACGGUCCAG